UGUCUCAGCGUAAUUUGCAUAUAGAACGUUUUAAUGUUUGUUACAGUGAAGUGCAGUCUGUGAAGUAAGCACAGUGUUCGGUAUUUUUCUUUAGUGUGUUUUCGCCGGUUAGACGUUCACAUCGCCACAUUUCUGAAAACAUUUAAACAAGUUUUGAAUUUUUGCAAAGAUUUUUCACUCGUCUUCAAAAAACAAGAACAUCAGUCUACUGCGUUGGUUUGUUUUGCCAUGUCUCAAAACCACUACCAACCGAGAUUCAGAGGACCUCCUCCUCACUGCGCUGGACAGUACGGUCCCCCCGGUGAAUACAAUGGUCUCAGAAAAGCUUUUGAGAACUGCAGGAGGGAAAACCUUCACCUACGAGAGAGCGAGUACCAACUGCGAAGUCGCCUAAACGGUCUUCUGGCAGAGAGGAGGAAUUUAUGCCAUAAGGAUGGGCUUGUAGCUCUUAGAGAAGAAAUGGAGUCCAAAUACAAGCAACUGGAGAAAAGAAAUGAAACGCUGGAACAAGAAAACAAAAUACUAGAAGGGAAGCAGCUAGACGCGGAUGAAUUGAAGGAAAAGCUGUCAGACGCAUACUUAAGAAUUGAAGCAGAAAAUGAGUACCAGCAAUUUCUAAGGGAGAAACAUUCGGAGGAAGUCCAAAAUUUGAAGGAGAAAUGUCAAGACCUGGAACAGAAGCAGGCAGUGUUGGAGGACAAAAAUAAAGAAUUGGAGGAAGAGAAGACAAAACUAGAGAACAAAAAUAAAGAAUUGGAGGAAGAGAAGAUCAAACUAGAGAACAAAAAUAAAGAAUUGGAGGAAGAGAAGACAAAACUGGAGGACAAAAAUAAAGAAUUGGAGGAAGAGAAGACAAAACUAGAGGACAAAAAGAAAGAGAUUCAGAAAGAGAAGACAAAACUAGAGGACAAAAAGAAAGAGAUUCAGAAAGAGAAGACAAAACUAGAGGACAAAAAUAAAGAAAUGGAACAAAAGAAGAAAAAACUGGAGGACAGAAAUAAAGAAUUGGAGGAAGAGAAGGAAAAGGUAGAAGACAAAUAUACAGCACUUGAGCAGAAGCAUAAAGAAGUCCAGGACAGGAGCACAGAAAUGCUUCAGGAGAAGAUCCAACACCUUCAAAAAUAUGAAGAACUUGAGAGGAUUCACAAAGAACUGCAAAGCAGAAACAGUGAAAACCAGGAGGAUCAGAAAAAGCAGAAACAAGAGGAGCUUGAACAAAAGGGCAAAGAAGAGGAUGAAAAGUUUAACAAACUGCAGGAAGAUUUUGAGAAGAUUCAAGCAGACAAUGAAAACCUCAAAGAAAAUAACACACUAGAGAUGAAAAACAAUGAGUUGCAGGCGCAAGAACAGCAAAAGAAAAAAGGAUCCAGCUUUUUCAAGAGGAAGUCAAGCAAGAAAGAGGAAAAACCAAAACAAGACCAGGAAAGUGUAGAGAAAGAAGAAAAGGUGGAAAAGAUAAACGGCAAAGUAGAAGAGAAAGAGAAAGGAAAGAAGAAGAAGAAGAAGACAGGCUGCUGGAGCUGGUUUUUCAGGAGUAAGAAAGGUUCUGGUGAGAUGAGAGUGGAAGAGGCUCCUGAGUCUGGACAACUGUAGGAGGUUCUACAUUUCAUUACUAUUCACAUCCCCACCCGGAUCCUCCCUGCACCUCCCUCUACCCUCCGUCUACCCCCUUCUUCCCUCCUUCUCCCCCUUCACAUCUCCACCCCACCCGUAUCCUCCCUGCACCUCCCUCUACCCUUCGUCUACCCCCUUCUUCCCUCCUUUCCCCCUACCCCUGCAACCUCCAUUUGCCAUCUCCAUCGACAGGUCUUUCUACGUGAAGAUCUGUUUUCUCUGUAUCUUAAUAAAAAAUAAAGUUGAACAUAACCAGAACUAAAUAAGCAUUUCUUUUUAUGAGAAA
Long non-coding RNA from Oreochromis aureus, 1900 nucleotides. Lineage: Eukaryota; Metazoa; Chordata; Actinopteri; Cichliformes; Cichlidae. The record is from Ensembl.